RNAcentral lists this ribosomal RNA (449 nucleotides) under uncultured bacterium. RNAcentral describes it as "partial 16S ribosomal RNA". It matches the Rfam family "Bacterial small subunit ribosomal RNA", at positions 29 to 523 of the family's 1533-position model. The record is from RNAcentral.
AACGAACGCUGGCGGCAUGCCUAACACAUGCAAGUCGAACGAGACCUUCGGGUCUAGUGGCGCACGGGUGCGUAACGCGUGGGAAUCUGCCCUUGGGUUCGGAACAACAGUUGGAAACGACUGCUAAUACCGGAUGAUGACUUCGGUCCAAAGAUUUAUCGCCCAAGGAUGGGCCUGCGUAGGAUUAGCUUGUUGGUGAGGUAAAAGCUUACCAAGGCGACGAUCCUUAGCUGGUCUGAGAGGAUGAUCAGCCACACUGGGACUGAGACACGGACCAGACUCCUACGGGAGGCAGCAGUGGGGAAUAUUGGACAAUGGGCGAAAGCCUGAGCCAGCAAUGCCGCGUGAGUGAUGAAGGCCUUAGGGUUGUAAAGCUCUUUUACCCGGGAUGAUAAUGACAGUACCGGGAGAAUAAGCCCCGGCUAACUCCGUGCCAGCCGCCGCCGUAA